RNAcentral lists this unclassified non-coding RNA (370 nucleotides) under Hevea brasiliensis (rubber tree). Lineage: Eukaryota; Viridiplantae; Streptophyta; Magnoliopsida; Malpighiales; Euphorbiaceae. The record is from RNAcentral.
GCCUCUAUGACAGUAGUAAACAUAUGUACAUCUGUUCAUUUCUUUUCUUCCUCUAAUAUUUAACUCCAGCAAACUUUUCCCAUCUGCUCCAAGUUUUAGGCGGCAACAAGCUUUUGAAUAUCCUUCUCAAUUUGAAAAGGUGAUGUUGUUGGUGGGUAUCUCUCAACAACUUUACCGUUUUUGUCCACCAAAAAUUUCUCAAAGUUCCACUUGAUAAGAUCGCCUAAAAACCCUCCAGCACUUGAUUUGAGAAACUGAUAUACUGGGGCAGUAUUUGGACCAUUGACAUCAACCUUGUCAAAAAUUGGGAACUCUGCUUUGAACCUCGAGCAGGCAAACUGCUUGAUUUCUGGAUUGGAUCCAGGUUCUU